This 4845-nucleotide long non-coding RNA is filed under the name Heterocephalus glaber (naked mole-rat). Its description in RNAcentral is "lncRNA (ENSHGLG00100045407.1)". Lineage: Eukaryota; Metazoa; Chordata; Mammalia; Rodentia; Bathyergidae. The record is from RNAcentral.
GUAAGUACAAGUAUUAUUGUGAGAUUAUGUUUGCAGCUUUUGAAUACUCACAUUUGUUCGCUGAAAUUCAGCAGUUAAAAUGUGUGCAGCUUUCUUCCAUUUUCUCAAUGAGGACCCUCAGAAUUAAAAUUUAGUAUCUUCUCGGGUGCCCAUUGUUCCCACAGAAGGUGGGAAAGCCCAGGUGUGGAAGUGGCCCCAGUCUUGCUUUCUCCUUCCCUUAUCUGUGUGCAUGCAUGUGCUGGUUCCCUGGCCUCUACAAAGCCUCUCUUUCCCAUUGUGUUUUCUCUGGUCUCCUGGGCCACUUCCAAAGACUUUUCUAGCCUCUUUUGCCCACUGAUACUCCUGCCCCAGAGCCCAUUCUCAGCUUGGCUUUCUGUUCUUCCUUUGUGCUCCUAUCUUCCAUAGCUCAAAUGUUUUCAGGGUGUCAGAAGCUGCCAGACCCCUGCCUGUUCAGUUGUCACUUGCUCAGCCUCAGUUGCUUUUGACUUAUUUCAGCCUCAGUUGCUUUUGACUUAUUUCUGCCCCAGAGAUGCCACCUGUACCAGGACUUGCUGUGUGAAGAUAGUCCACCUGUGCCCUCGCUGAGUGUCUCCUGUGUACUGUCAUGCACUGCUGGCCUAGACUCUGCACUUGGCCUUUAAGUCUUCCUUGUUCUGACAGUCUCCUAAGUCGGUCUUCAGGGCAGUGAGCCGUCGGCAACCUGAGCUUCUUUCAAGUUCUAUAACCACCUGUAGUUCACUCUGAGGUCACCCCCAGCACUGUCUUUCAGACCUUCCUGUCUCUAGCCUCUCUUGUGUCUAGUAAACGCUUCCUGGGCCCCCUGUUACUUAUCCUGGGUAAAGGACUCUAGACCUACUCAUCCCUCAUGUUUGCACCUUAGUUGCAAAUCUCACCACCUGGGAACUUCCACUUUUUGUGCCCCCAGUGUACCUUGCUCUGCCACCUUGCUUGGUUGGAAGGUUGGAAGCUUUGCACAUAGCCUGAGCCAUUCUGGCCACACCUCCCACUUUAGCCCUCUCAUAGCUCCCCUUGUUCAAGCCAAGGGACCACAGUGUAAGACCCAGCCCAGCCAGUGCCUGCUACAGUCUGGAAUUCUACAUAUGUGGGGUAUUCACCUGAUAUGGUACCCCCUCAGUGGUGGCUGCCAUGUCCCUCAGCCAUUAUCCAACACUCAUCCCACCAGGUCUCUCUCCCUAUUCCUUGAACCCCAGGUGUUUGGUCUGCAUUCUUACCCAGAAUCUUCUGAGCUGUCAUGGAUGUACUAGCCAUUCUGUCUGCAGAACAUGGCCUUGCCAUACCUCUGGCCAGCUCAGCAUCUCCCAUAGGCUUCGAAUCUGACUUCUGGGAGCCAUAGACUUUGAGAAGAGUGCCUAGGGUCCAGCUGUAUGCCUAUUCCAGCCUUGGGUUCCUGAGGCUUUAUUUGUACAAACUGCCCUAUUGAGAGUCAGGCCUGGAAGGAAUUAGAUUGUAUCAUUGCUGUGUGAAAGAGCCAUGACUGGGGCCAGGGAUUUAGCUCAGUGGUUCCUCCGCCUGCCCCACAAGUGCAAGGACCCAAGUUUGAUCCCCGGUACCAAAAAAAAAAAAUGAAUGGAGGAUCCUGGAGCAGAACUGGUCUCAGAAAUAGAGACCACCAGGGUGUUGGGUGUGGGGAUGCCAACCAUGGUUGGGGGAUUAUGGCUGGGAUUGCCCUGACCCUUCCACUUACCUUGGGUCAGAGCCCAUCUUUCUCCUUUGCACCUUCUCCUUCUGCUAGGCAAUUGCACAUCUGAAGAACCUUCUCCAGAAGGUGGAAGCUCUGAGGCUGAGACAGCUCUGAUGUUACCUUCUCAUUAGCAGGCUAUGGUGCUAUUUGCUGGCGUAUCUUGACCUUUUAUUUCAGAAUUCAUGGAAUGAAGCCAGUGUUCCAGGCUGUCUCCAGGACGAGGCAUGGGCAGCGUGUGUGGAAAGGCAGGGUUGGGACUGAGACAGGUAGGGACCUUUCCCACUAUGCAGACAUCUGCCACACCGUCCCUAGAAGAGCUUCUUAAGCAACAAGUUCUUUCCUACCACAUGUAAAUGAUCACAUCACACCAAGCAGCUCUUUCUAGAAUCAAAGACAGAACACCCUUGACAACCAAAUGCAAGGAGCAUGCCUUGGUUAGAUCCUGAAUCUAGCAAAAAAAAGGGAAAGGAAGAGAUGGUUAUAAAGAGUGUUACAGGACAAGUGGGAAGGUUGAUUUUUGGACUAUGUACUAGAUGGUGGUGUGAUCUCAGCAUUGUUGCUUCUGAGUAAGACCUGGGCUGAGGUAUGUGGUACCUGAGGUAUGUGAGGUGUGUGGUAUCUCAGUACCUGCAGGGGGCUCAGCUCAGUGAGAGGUGAGGAGCAGAUUUGGCAUGUGCAGCGACCCAGAGCUUCUGUGCAGGUGACAUUGGACCAAGUUUGUACUCGUGGACACCAGAUAGGUGGACAGCAGCAUUGAAAUAUGCCAUGAGUCAGGCACCCCUUUGGUUCUAUCUACUGAUAUGGAUCCUCUCCAUGAGAAUCAAAUGGGAAAUGAUGGCAGUGGAGCUAGCCAUGUGCCCUGGAUCCUUUAGGGCUCAAAUGCCUGAGUUGCUGGUCAGGUGACAGCCCUGGCUGGGUUUUGGUCACCAUGGUUGGCUGUGCUCCUCACAGUGCAGUGACAUCAAGGGUAGCCCUAGAAGGUGGUACAUUAACAGAGUGGAGAGACUGAUUGCCCUUUUAAUGAGGCCACUAUUAGUGAGGCUCAUCUGAUCUGGCUGUAGCACCUAUCUUAAAAAGACUGAUAAGGUAGCCUUUUUUUUUUUUUUUAAGAGUCAUAGGUACCACUAGGGAUUUGGUAAUGUAAGCAAGUUUGCAGCAAGUGGCAGGAAAAAAUCAGUGCUGAUUCCUGGCCAAGUUGAAAGCUUGGUGAGUGCUAGGAAAUGUGUCAGUUGCCACAGAGAGAUCUGUCAUUACUUUCUCCUUUUACUCAAGGGCUCACCUUGGCUCUCUAGACUCUGACAACUCACCUUACCAUUGCUGUCCCUCAGAGAGGUGCUGGUGGCAUAAAUCUAAUAUGGUGCUGCCACAGCCCAUGGAGAGAUUUCUGCCUGCAGCCACAGAGGGACAGAGGAGAAACGCCUGUACAGUUUGUCCUUCUGUCCUAAAGUAUCUGAGUGCUGGGCACAAGGAUGGGUGCUGGCUGUGGAGUAGAGGUGGUUGUGGAAUGACAAUAAACACAGGUCUGACCUUUUGGGGUAGGGAUCCUACCUUGCCUUCCUGGAUGAUGGUGUUUAGGCUAAGGGCUCAAGAAGAUAUGAAGGAGGAGGAACCUGAGGGGAUACAUGAGGUGCAGAGUCUAGUCUGGAGGGCAAGCAGGCACUGCUGUGCAGCCCACACAGUGCUAAAGUGGUCUCUGGUGCUUCAGCAAGCUGGUAAGGUGAAGUGGGAGAGAUUUGUACUGGGUGAUAUUGUUGCUGGCUUCCUGUGGAGAAUACGUAUGGGGGUUUGUUGAAAGGGUUGUAUAUAGAUACUCAAUGUUUCAAUACUCACAUAUUUUUCACUUAUUGGUAUACAGUUCUAUAAGUUAGGUAGAGAGUAUAGCAUUCAACACCCCCCACAACCUUCUCCCCUGUCAUUAUCAUCUUGCAUUAGUAUGGUUACAGCUUGUGCACCUCCACUGCUGCAUCAUCAUCACCCAGACUGAUAUUAGGGCUCCCUCCUGGUGUUGGACAUGCUGUAAGUUUGGGUAGGUGUAUGACAUAUUUCCGCUGUUAAGUUUCUUCGAAUACUUUCUCUGCCCUAAAUCCCCUGUGCUCUGUCUCUUCAUCUCUGCCUCCACCCAACCCUUGGUAACCCCUGGUCUUAUAUUGUCUGCAUUGUAUUGACCUGUUCUAAAUGAGUCUUGGAGCUACUAUAACAGUUAAUACAUAGAGCAGAGCUGAGUAUGGUGGUACAUGACUGUAAUUUCUGCACUGAGGGAGCCUGAAGCAGGACGAUUGCAAGUUCAAGUAUGACUUGGGCAACUUAACCAGACCUUGUCUCAAAAUAAAACUAAAAUGACUGGGGAUGUAUAGCUUAGUGGUAGAGCACCUUUUAUGGUUUAGAUCUAGAAUGCUAUCUUAUUUUUUCUUGUUGCUGAGACAAAAUACCUGACACCCAAAGUUAAAAGAGGAAAGGUUUAUUUCAGUUCAGUUUGUAGAAGUUUCAGUCCAUAGUUGGCUGGUUCCAAGGCAGGGUGGCACGGCAGAGGGGCACUGCAGAGGAGAAACAGUGCAUGGCAGGGCAGGGCAGACAGAAGGCAGCAAGCAGUGAGCAAUGGUAGCAGCAGUGGCAGCAAAAGUAGCAGCAGCAAACUUGCCUCUCCCAUUUAUCCCAUUCAGGCUUCUGGAUGGUGCUACCCACGUCCAGGGUGGGACACCCUUAGUCCCAGCAUCACACCCCCUAGAUCCAGCCACUUCUGAAAAUCGUCACCCAUGACCUCUUGAGGCUUUAGGGGGACAUCUAGAUACAAGCCAUAACAAAUGUCCUCUAGAAGUUUCAUGUGUUCAGAGGGCUACCACAGUACGUUACAAAGGGAGAAACCUGCGGAUCAAAGCACCCAUGUGUCGGGCCCUAAAGAAGCUCUGUGAUCCUGAUGGCUUGAGUGAUGAAGAGGACCAGAAACCAGUGCGCCUGCCCUUGAAAGUCCCUGUAGAGCUACAGCCACGGAACAACCAUGCCUGGGCCCGAGUGCAGAGCCUUGCCCAGAACCCCCCGCCUCAGGUGAUGCAGUCUUCUAGGGAAGGGGGGUGGGGGAAGGUUGACACAGGCCCUGCACUAUUUGUAUUUUCAUUUUCCUGAGAGAAUUUCUGGUAAGAAGCCAG